This 482-nucleotide ribosomal RNA is filed under the name uncultured bacterium. RNAcentral describes it as "bacterial SSU rRNA". It matches the Rfam family "Bacterial small subunit ribosomal RNA", at positions 29 to 506 of the family's 1533-position model. The record is from RNAcentral.
UUGGACGCUGGCGGAAUGCUUUACACAUGCAAGUCGGGCGGCAGCGCGGGGGCAACCCUGGCGGCGAGCGGCGAACGGGUGAGUAACAUAUCGGAACGUACCCAGACGUGGGGGACAACUAGUCGAAAGACUAGCUAAUACCGCAUACGUCCUGAGGGAGAAAGCGGGGGAUCGCAAGACCUCGCGCGUUUGGAGCGGCCGAUAUCUGAUUAGCUAGAUGGUGGGGUAAAGGCCCACCAUGGCGACGAUCAGUAGCUGGUCUGAGAGGAUGAUCAGCCACACUGGAACUGAGACACGGUCCAGACUCCUACGGGAGGCAGCAGGGGGGAAUUUUGGACAAUGGGGGAAACCCUGAUCCAGCCAUUCCGCGUGAGUGAAGAAGGCCUUCGGGUUGUAAAGCUCUUUCGGCAGGAACGAAACGGCGGAAUCUAAUACAUUCCACUAAUGACGGUACCUGAAGAAGAAGCACCGGCUAACUACGU